Long non-coding RNA from Lactuca sativa (garden lettuce), 1241 nucleotides. RefSeq lists it as uncharacterized. The record is from RefSeq and is a predicted model, not a curated record. NCBI's taxonomy places the organism in Eukaryota, Viridiplantae, Streptophyta, Magnoliopsida, Asterales, Asteraceae.
UUCAUCUAACUUGAAAGGUUAUAUUUAAUUAAAUGGGAUUCAAGUUUGAACAGUUCCCCUUCAUUUACUAGUCGCGAUUUCUUUGCAGUUCAAACAAUUUGGGGACGAGACCACAACCUAGGUCUCACGAUUCCGACUGGAGUAGUCGUAUGGACAUCCAAUUAAUAGAAAUUACAUGAUGGUGGUGGUCAAUCGAAUACUCACAGUAUCAUCAAGUGGUGGCCGAUCGGGGUUCCAUAGCAAUGACAACAAGCAGAGAUAGCGGCGGAGGGUGGCUAAGGCUCAUCAACGACGGUGGCGGUCGGAGGUUGUCUCUGCGACAACAGCAGACAGUGAGGGCCGGACAUGUCGGGAAGAUCGUGUUCUAAGCGUGUUUUGUACCGGGAACCUUGGAGUCGACCUGAGGUUGAUGGAGAAGCAAGGAAAAGGCGACUGGAAGCUGUUUGAGAGUCGAAUAAAUGAAAGCAGGAAGGAAAAAUGGUGGUGGUCGCUGCUUCUUCUUCUCCAGUGAACUAUGCCAACAGGGGCCUGUUUAUGAUCGUGGGUUGCAUCAACUAGCCAUGGCGGUGGUUUGGCGGUGAUUGGAUCAGUCUGUCAUCAAAAAUAGAAGGAAGGUGGGAGGUUGGGUUGAAGAAGCUCGGUGAUGGCGAUGGUUUGCUAGCGGUGGCAGCCUCCUGCUGUCACCGUUCCUCUCCUGUUGCGAGAAUGAGAGAGAGGAAACAGUUGGAUCGAAUGGGAUAGGUGAAGCGGCAACAUCAAUGAUCUUCAGGGGUGUUUGGCUGGUUAACUCGACGGGAAAGAGGGAUGGAGGGAAUAGCUGAUAUUCGUUUCCUCCCCUCCACUGAUCAGGGAAGUGAAGGAGAAGAAGAACAGCAACAAAACCUUAAGGUGUUUUGGGUGUUACUGUGAAACCCGUGGGGAAGAAGAAAGAUCGAAAGAGUGUUGUUGCCGUCUUGAAUGAGUCACUGGCAGCAGUUGAAGGACAAACAGGAGAAAUAUUUCCGUGUGAAUUUGUUUAAGUUGAAGGUUAGACUUAUCAAUUUGAGGAGUACAAAAAUUGAUAGUGUACUUGUUUGGCAAGCUGUCAAUUGAAAGGGUAAAGAAUAUAAAGAAUAUAAGUUUCAUUUCAGUAUAAUGUAUUUGUUUCUUUAUGAAAUGUGUAAAAUUUGUAAUUAACAAAUUUCCAUGUGUUUUAUUUGGUUUGAAUUUAAAAGCAAUGCAAUACCUUAAUUAUUUAUGUA